UAAGGAAUAUUGGUCAAUGGACGCAAGUCUGAACCAGCCAUGCCGCGUGAAGGAUGAAGGUCCUCUGGAUUGUAAACUUCUUUUAUCUGGGACGAAAACGGGAUUUUUAUCUCAAUUGACGGUACCAGAGGAAUAAGCACCGGCUAACUCCGUGCCAGUAGCCGCGGUAAUACGGAGGGUGCGAGCGUUAUCCGGAUUUACUGGGUUUAAAGGGUGCGUAGGUGGGCAGGUAAGUCAGUGGUGAAAUCUCCGGGCUUAACCCGGAAACAGCCGUUGAUACUAUUUGUCUUGAAUAUUGUGGAGGUAAGCGGAAUAUGUCAUGUCGCGGUGAAAUGCUUAGAUAUGACAUAGAACACCAAUUGCGAAGGCAGCUUACUACACAAUCAUUGACGCUGAGGCACGAAAGCGUGGGGAUCAAACA
This 421-nucleotide ribosomal RNA is filed under the name uncultured bacterium. RNAcentral's name for it is "bacterial SSU rRNA". It matches the Rfam family "Bacterial small subunit ribosomal RNA", at positions 355 to 774 of the family's 1533-position model. The record is from RNAcentral.